AAGAAAGUAACUUAAUAGGCAAAGUACUUUUCUAUAAUAGGACAAAAUAUUAGUUCGAGUCCAAUCUUUCUUA
RNAcentral lists this transfer RNA (73 nucleotides) under Scedosporium apiospermum. It matches the Rfam family "tRNA". Rfam says of the family: Transfer RNA (tRNA) molecules are approximately 80 nucleotides in length. The record is from Rfam by way of RNAcentral. Lineage: Eukaryota; Fungi; Ascomycota; Sordariomycetes; Microascales; Microascaceae.